UUAGAUACCCUGUUAUUUAAAGGCAUAAAUUUAUCAUCUGCCAGGGUAGUACGAACACAUGUUUAAAACCCAAAGGACUUGGCGGUACUAUAAUCCAACUAGGGGAACUUGUCUCUUGAUUCGAUAGUCCACGAAAAUCUUACUUAUCCUAGCAAAUAUCAGUUUACAUACCGUCGUCUAGCUGGCCUUACGAGAGAUUAAAAGCUGGCGAGAAAGGUGAAUUCCUAAUAAGACAGAUAAAGGUGCAGCUAAUGGAUAAAGGGAAGGAUGCGUUAUAAUUAAGAAUUUGAUAGUGGAAUUUUAAUGAAAAUUUAGAAGGAAAGAAGACUUAGAAGUAAUUUUUAGAGAAUACUAGAAAUGAAUUUUUAUUAGGCUCUAUAGUGUGCACAAAUCGCCCGUCACUCUC
This 406-nucleotide ribosomal RNA is filed under the name Scutellastra laticostata. RNAcentral's name for it is "partial 12S ribosomal RNA". It matches the Rfam family "Bacterial small subunit ribosomal RNA", at positions 778 to 1404 of the family's 1533-position model. The record is from RNAcentral. Lineage: Eukaryota; Metazoa; Mollusca; Gastropoda; Patellidae.